AUGAACGCUGGCGGCGUGCCUAAUACAUGCAAGUCGAGCGAACAGACGAGGAGCUUGCUCCUCUGACGUUAGCGGCGGACGGGUGAGUAACACGUGGAUAACCUACCUAUAAGACUGGGAUAACUUCGGGAAACCGGAGCUAAUACCGGAUAAUAUAUUGAACCGCAUGGUUCAAUAGUGAAAGACGGUUUUGCUGUCACUUAUAGAUGGAUCCGCGCCGCAUUAGCUAGUUGGUAAGGUAACGGCUUACCAAGGCAACGAUGCGUAGCCGACCUGAGAGGGUGAUCGGCCACACUGGAACUGAGACACAGUCCAGACUCCUACGGGAGGCAGCAGUAGGGAAUCUUCCGCAAUGGGCGAAAGCUUGACGGAGCAACGCCGCGUGAGUGAUGAAGGUCUUCGGAUCGUAAAACUCUGUUAUUAGGGAAGAACAAAUGUGUAAGUAACUAUGCACGUCUUGACGGUACCUAAUCAGAAAGCCACGGCUAACUACGUG
RNAcentral lists this ribosomal RNA (496 nucleotides) under uncultured bacterium. Its description in RNAcentral is "partial 16S ribosomal RNA". It matches the Rfam family "Bacterial small subunit ribosomal RNA", at positions 29 to 507 of the family's 1533-position model. The record is from RNAcentral.